AUGCAUGUCUCAGUACAAGCCAAAUUAAGGUGAAACCGCGAAAGGCUCAUUAAAUCAGUUAUGGUUCCUUAGAUCGUACCCACAUUUACUUGGAUAACUGUGGUAAUUCUAGAGCUAAUACAUGCAAACAGAGCUCCGACCGGAGACGGAAGGAGCGCUUUUAUUAGAUCAAAACCAAUCGGCGGCGGGUUCGCUCGUCGUCGUACAUUUUGGUGACUCUGAAUAACUUUUUGCUGAUCGCACGGUCUAGCACCGGCGACGCAUCUUUCAAAUGUCUGCCUUAUCAACUGUCGAUGGUAGGUUCUGCGCCUACCAUGGUUGUAACGGGUAACGGGGAAUCAGGGUUCGAUUCCGGAGAGGGAGCCUGAGAAACGGCUACCACAUCCAAGGAAGGCAGCAGGCGCGCAAAUUACCCACUCCCGGCACGGGGAGGUAGUGACGAAAAAUAACGAUACGGGACUCAUCCGAGGCCCCGUAAUCGGAAUGAGUACACUCUAAACCCUUUAACGAGGAUCAAUUGGAGGGCAAGUCUGGUGCCAGCAGCCGCGGUAAUUCCAGCUCCAAUAGCGUAUAUUAAAGUUGUUGCGGUUAAAAAGCUCGUAGUCGAAUCUGUGUCUCGCGCCGCCGGUUCAUCGCUCGCGGUGUUUAACUGGCGUGCCGCGGGACGUCCUGCCGGUGGGCUUAGCCUUUCGGGGCGGCCCAACUUGAAAUCCCACCGCGGUGCUCUUCACUGAGUGUCGAGGUGGGCCGGCACGUUUACUUUGAACAAAUUAGAGUGCUUAAAGCAGGCUCAAACUUCGCCUGAAUACUGUGUGCAUGGAAUAAUGGAAUAGGACCUCGGUUCUAUUUUGUUGGUUUUCGGAACCCCGAGGUAAUGAUUAAUAGGAACGGAUGGGGGCAUUCGUAUUGCGACGUUAGAGGUGAAAUUCUUGGAUCGUCGCAAGACGGACAGAAGCGAAAGCAUUUGCCAAAAACGCUUUCAUUGAUCAAGAACGAAAGUUAGAGGUUCGAAGGCGAUCAGAUACCGCCCUAGUUCUAACCAUAAACGAUGCCAGCUAGCGAUCCGCCGACGUUCCUCCGAUGACUCGGCGGGCAGCUUCCGGGAAACCAAAGCUUUUGGGUUCCGGGGGAAGUAUGGUUGCAAAGCUGAAACUUAAAGGAAUUGACGGAAGGGCACCACCAGGAGUGGAGCCUGCGGCUUAAUUUGACUCAACACGGGAAACCUCACCAGGCCCGGACACCGGAAGGAUUGACAGAUUGAGAGCUCUUUCUUGAUUCGGUGGGUGGUGGUGCAUGGCCGUUCUUAGUUGGUGGAGCGAUUUGUCUGGUUAAUUCCGAUAACGAACGAGACUCUAGCCUGCUAACUAGGCGUAUUUUCGACAUCUCAAAGGCCCGCCGGCCCGGCGCUCACGCGUCGCGGUCGCGCGCGGUUUUUACUGUCGGCGUACAAUCAAUUCUUCUUAG
RNAcentral lists this ribosomal RNA (1464 nucleotides) under Enochrus fimbriatus. Its description in RNAcentral is "SSU rRNA". It matches the Rfam family "Eukaryotic small subunit ribosomal RNA", at positions 51 to 1414 of the family's 1831-position model. Lineage: Eukaryota; Metazoa; Arthropoda; Insecta; Coleoptera; Hydrophilidae. The record is from RNAcentral.